Molecule: long non-coding RNA, 109 nt
Organism: Telopea speciosissima
Lineage: Eukaryota; Viridiplantae; Streptophyta; Magnoliopsida; Proteales; Proteaceae
Exons: 3
Source: RefSeq, a predicted model, not a curated record
AGCAUAUGAUCCAAGCAAAGACCCAGCAAGAAAGGCCAAAUCAAAUGACCCUGGGUGGAAGUAUGGGUAUUGGCCAGAUCUAACAAACAAGAAUCAUGUCAGAUGUAGU